This 336-nucleotide RNase P RNA is filed under the name Clostridia bacterium. RNAcentral's name for it is "RNase P RNA component class A". It matches the Rfam family "Bacterial RNase P class A". Rfam says of the family: Ribonuclease P (RNase P) is a ubiquitous endoribonuclease, found in archaea, bacteria and eukarya as well as chloroplasts and mitochondria. Its best characterised activity is the generation of mature 5'-ends of tRNAs by cleaving the 5'-leader elements of precursor-tRNAs. Cellular RNase Ps are ribonucleoproteins. Lineage: Bacteria; Bacillati; Bacillota; Clostridia. The record is from RNAcentral.
UGAUUGGAUUGGGCAGUCGCUGGCGCUUUGCGCGAGAGGAAAGUCCGAGCCCCAUAGAGCAGGAUGACGGCUAACGGCCGCCGAGGGUGACCUUAGGGAAAGUGCAACAGAGAUAUACCGCUCGUUUUACGAGUAAGGGUGGAAAGGCGAGGUAAGAGCUCACCAGCGUGGUGGAGACAUCACGGCUAUGUAAACCCCAUCUGGAGCAACACCGACUUGCAUAGGCUUGCUCGGCCGCUUUAAAGCAGAAGGGUGGCUUGAACCACUCAGCAAUGGGUGGUCUAGAUAGAUGAUUGCCUUGAAAGACAGAACUCGGCUUACAGAUCCUAUCACGCU